AGGCUGCCGGUAGCAGCUGGUUCGCCCCGUCCGCCAGGCGGGAUGCGUCGCAAGAGGGAACCCGGUGGGAAUCCGGGACUGCCCCGCAGCGGUGAGCGGGAACGACCGCCGUCAUACGCACUGGGUCCGACGUACCGGACCUGGGAAGCGACGGCCAGUAGGUGUCUCGUCCGACGAGACGCGCCCGCGAGUCCGAAGACCUGCCAACUGCCCGCGUGCGGA
This 222-nucleotide non-coding RNA is filed under the name Streptomyces sp. RNAcentral also lists the same sequence under 1 other name. Lineage: Bacteria; Bacillati; Actinomycetota; Actinomycetes; Kitasatosporales; Streptomycetaceae. The record is from RNAcentral.